GACGAACGCUGUUUGCGUGCUUAACACAUGCAAGUCGAACGGAAAGGCCCUGCUUUUGUGGGGUGCUCGAGUGGCGAACGGGUGAGUAACACGUGAGUAACCUGCCCUUGACUUUGGGAUAACUUCAGGAAACUGGGGCUAAUACCGGAUAGGAGCUCCUGCUGCAUGGUGGGGGUUGGAAAGUUUCGGCGGUUGGGGAUGGACUCGCGGCUUAUCAGCUUGUUGGUGGGGUAGUGGCUUACCAAGGCUUUGACGGGUAGCCGGCCUGAGAGGGUGACCGGCCACAUUGGGACUGAGAUACGGCCCAGACUCCUACGGGAGGCAGCAGUGGGGAAUAUUGCACAAUGGGCGGAAGCCUGAUGCAGCAACGCCGCGUGCGGGAUGACGGCCUUCGGGUUGUAAACCGCUUUCGCCUGUGACGAAGCGUGAGUGACGGUAAUGGGUAAAGAAGCACCGGCUAACUACGUGCCAGCAGCCGCGGUGAUACGUAGGGUGCGAGCGUUGUCCGGAUUUAUUGGGCGUAAAGGGCUCGUAGGUGGUUGAUCGCGUCGGAAGUGUAAUCUUGGGGCUUAACCCUGAGCGUGCUUUCGAUACGGGUUGACUUGAGGAAGGUAGGGGAGAAUGGAAUUCCUGGUGGAGCGGUGGAAUGCGCAGAUAUCAGGAGGAACACCAGUGGCGAAGGCGGUUCUCUGGGCCUUUCCUGACGCUGAGGAGCGAAAGCGUGGGGAGCGAACAGGCUUAGAUACCCUGGUAGUCCACGCUGUAAACGGUGGGUACUAGGUGUGGGGUCCAUUCCACGGGUUCCGUGCCGUAGCUAACGCUUUAAGUACCCCGCCUGGGGAGUACGGCCGCAAGGCUAAAACUCAAAGGAAUUGACGGGGCCCCGCACAAGCGGCGGAGCAUGCGGAUUAAUUCGAUGCAACGCGUAGAACCUUACCUGGGUUUGACAUGGAUCGGGAGUGCUCAGAGAUGGGUGUGCCUCUUUUGGGGUCGGUUCACAGGUGGUGCAUGGCUGUCGUCAGCUCGCGUCGUGAGAUGUUGGGUUAAGUCCCGCAACGAGCGCAACCCUUGUUCACUGUUGCCAGCACGUUAUGGUGGGGACUCAGUGGAGACCGCCGGGGUCAACUCGGAGGAAGGUGGGGAUGACGUCAAGUCAUCAUGCCCCUUAUGUCCAGGGCUUCACGCAUGCUACAAUGGCUGGUACAGAGAGUGGCGAGCCUGUGAGGGUGAGCGAAUCUCGGAAAGCCGGUCUCAGUUCGGAUUGGGGUCUGCAACUCGACCUCAUGAAGUCGGAGUCGCUAGUAAUCGCAGAUCAGCAACGCUGCGGUGAAUACGUUCCCGGG
RNAcentral lists this ribosomal RNA (1343 nucleotides) under uncultured bacterium. RNAcentral's name for it is "16S ribosomal RNA". It matches the Rfam family "Bacterial small subunit ribosomal RNA", at positions 28 to 1378 of the family's 1533-position model. The record is from RNAcentral.